GCCGAGGUGGUAGAGUGGACAAAUACACGAGUCUGUAAAACUCGCGGCGCAAGCCUACACAAGUUCGAAUCUUGUCCUCGGCACCC
RNAcentral lists this transfer RNA (86 nucleotides) under Candidatus Collierbacteria bacterium RIFOXYD1_FULL_40_9. Its description in RNAcentral is "tRNA-Tyr". It matches the Rfam family "tRNA". Rfam says of the family: Transfer RNA (tRNA) molecules are approximately 80 nucleotides in length. Their secondary structure includes four short double-helical elements and three loops (D, anti-codon, and T loops). Lineage: Bacteria; Candidatus Collieribacteriota. The record is from RNAcentral.